Molecule: long non-coding RNA, 202 nt
Organism: Camellia sinensis
Lineage: Eukaryota; Viridiplantae; Streptophyta; Magnoliopsida; Ericales; Theaceae
Source: RefSeq, a predicted model, not a curated record
CUAACUAAUUAAUUACACUAAUUAAUUAAUUAUAAAUUAAAAUUGACUAAUUAAUUACUUAGCCACUAUCCCCAUAACCGGCACCGGUAUCAACCCAGCAAGGAGUCUUGGUGCUGCAAUCGUCUUCAACAAGGACCGCGCUUGGGAUGACCACUGGAUUUUCUGGGUGGGCCCAUUCAUCGGUGCAGCACUCGCAGCUUUG